GAUGCCUCACGUAAGCGGAAUCACGCAGCAUCUGUAGGGAGGUUCUAGUAGGGAGGGUAACAUGUAAUUCGUACCAUGUCUUUGUACUUUAAAUACCUCGUGAUAGAUGAAGGCCAACAAGGGACUGCAGCUCCUUCUAGAAGCACUACUGUUUCUCUACAGACUUGGACCGUAUCUGAUACCUAUUCCUACUAGAUGUGACACAGACCAUGAAGAAACAGGCCCCCGCCAGCAUGGACAGGAGCAGAAAGAGUCCCACAGCAAUCAUAAUGACUUGCUGGAGUUUGGUGGUGGCUAAAAAGAUGAUGCGGAAGUAAACAAGAGGCCCAUCCCACAAAUGACACAAACAUCGGUAAUUUCUCACCUGCCAAGUGCUUAAAGAGUCCAUUUCCUAGUGAAAUGGCAGAUACUGCCCCCGCUCCACCCGGCCUCAUGUGCUUAAAUGAAAUACUGGGAAAGGCAAGCCUGAAAUAAAGCAGUGUCCGUUGUCUGGCGGUGUUAUUA
This is a long non-coding RNA of Suricata suricatta (meerkat), 504 nucleotides long. RefSeq lists it as uncharacterized. The record is from RefSeq and is a predicted model, not a curated record. The transcript is spliced from 2 exons. Lineage: Eukaryota; Metazoa; Chordata; Mammalia; Carnivora; Herpestidae.